This 1609-nucleotide long non-coding RNA is filed under the name Sus scrofa (pig). RNAcentral describes it as "lncRNA (ENSSSCG00035018731.1)". Lineage: Eukaryota; Metazoa; Chordata; Mammalia; Artiodactyla; Suidae. The record is from RNAcentral.
GGGAGCCAUGGGGAGCCAUUAAACAUUUCGGAGCAGAAGAGGGACAUGACAAUUUACAUUUCUUAAGCUCAUUUUUUUCUUCUUUUUAGGGCCUCACCCUCCUGGCAUGUGGAAAUUCCCAGGCUAGGAGCUGAAUUGGAGCUGCAGCUGCUGGCCCAUGCCACAGCCACAGCAACUCCAGAUCUGAGCAGUGUCUGCAGCCCACACUGCAGCUCACGGCAAUGCUGGAUCCUUACUUAACCCACUGAGCAGGGCCAGGGAUCAGACCCGCAUCCUCGUGGAUACUAGUUGGGUUUGUUACCACUGAGCCACAAUGGGAACUCCCUAAAGCUCACUCUGACUGUAAUAUGUAUUGAAGGAAUGAGAGUUCAGAUUGAGGGGAGCCAAGUGGAAGCCAGGAGACCUGUGGGGAGGCUGUUAUAAUUAUCCAGGAAAGCCAUGAUGGAUCACAGGGCUCAGCCCAGGGAGAAAAGUGGAUGAGCCAAGGACAAGCUUAGGAGAUAGACUCAACAUCCCAGCUUGGAUGAGCUGAAAUUUGGGAACGGUGAGGUGUGGCUUUGCCUGGAAAUUCUCUUGUUUCCUGGGCAUAUUGACUUGGGGACCUUUAGAAGUCUAGGGGAUGAGAUGGAACUGUAUUAGCACCCUCAAACCCCACUUCCUCCAAGAGGCUCCAGGGGUCUAAUUCCUGGGCUUCCCUGCUGGGCUUCAUGCGUCUAAGGUUGUUUUUUAUUCUGAGUUUGCACAGAGCUCAUGUUUAUUUUUGCUAAUUGAUACAAAUGGCUUGCCCUCGCUGUCGUGCUUCAGCGCUGUGCACUUUCAUAUUAAUUGGUUUGGAGGAGGAAAAUUAAGUGCUUCAAUUUGCCAUCUUUCCAGAUGACAAAAUGGGAAAGAAGAAAAUUACUCAGCUGAAAGAGAGGAUCUAUAAUAAAGACGUCAUGUCGCUGCAUGUGAUCCUUGCUGGGAAGGAAAGGGACCAUGGUGUCAUGAGAGGGGCUUUGGGUGACCUGACCUGGGUCCUGGACCAAGAUCUGGGGAUGAGGAGAGACACAGAAGAAUCCUCGUGGAGGUGACGUUUCACCUGAGACAUGCCAGGUGAGCUGCAGGUAACUAGGUGAGGAGCCGGGGUGGGGAGAUAUUCCAGGAGGUGGGAACAGUGUGUGCAAAGGCCCUGAGGUGCUGGGAGUCUGGUAUGUCCGAGGCCAGAGGAGAGGCCGGUGUGGCCGGGACCAAGGGAACACAGAGGUGAGUGGUGGGAGGCAGGACUGGAGAGGGGCAGGGACCUGGGAGUUAGGGCUCCCUCCUAAGGCCGAGGGCAUCUUCUGGAAGGUUUGCAGCAGGGGUGUGACUGGGAUCAGAUUUGCCUCUUCGGAUGUUCCCAGUUGUAUCGGGAAGGGCGCCUUGCUUGGGGCUGUCCUUUCCUCUCCUCAGUGCCCACCACGGUCUGUUUCAUAGCUCAGGGUCUGGGUGGGACAGCAGACCUCAGCCUUAGGGCCUUGGUCACAUCUCAGGAGAAAAUCAGAGGGACGGUCGGGAAACACACACCAAGGACUCGGGCGUGCCUGAGCCUGAUGCAGGGCUUUGAAGAGAAGCCUCAGGAGUCACAGGGGCA